UUGCCCAAUGAUUAUAGCAAGACGCGUUAUUAUGAGGACUAAUGCUGGAACUCUUUCUCCUCCUCCUCCUCCUCCUUCUUUGUCCCUUCCUCUUUCACCUUUUACCCCCCUCACUUUCUAUAGGGUAUCCAGCGUCCUAUGAGCAAGACUGAGAUAUGAGGGCAA
RNAcentral lists this small nucleolar RNA (165 nucleotides) under Aphelocoma coerulescens (scrub jay). Its description in RNAcentral is "Small nucleolar RNA SNORD97". It matches the Rfam family "Small nucleolar RNA SNORD97". The record is from Rfam by way of RNAcentral. Lineage: Eukaryota; Metazoa; Chordata; Aves; Passeriformes; Corvidae. RNAcentral also lists the same sequence under 1 other name.